AACCUAGCACACCUGCGGUGUGUACCUGCGGAAGGAUCAUUACCGAGUUUACAACUCCCAAACCCCUGUGAACAUACCUAUACGUUGCCUCGGCGGAUCAGCCCGCGCCCUGUAAAAAGGGACGGCCCGCCCGAGGACCCUAAACUCUGUUUUUAGUGGAACUUCUGAGUAAAACAAACAAAUAAAUCAAAACUUUUAGCAACGGAUCU
RNAcentral lists this unclassified non-coding RNA (209 nucleotides) under soil metagenome. Its description in RNAcentral is "partial contains 5.8S ribosomal RNA, internal transcribed spacer 2, and large subunit ribosomal RNA". The record is from RNAcentral.